RNAcentral lists this ribosomal RNA (465 nucleotides) under Vreelandella stevensii. Its description in RNAcentral is "partial 16S ribosomal RNA". It matches the Rfam family "Bacterial small subunit ribosomal RNA", at positions 338 to 795 of the family's 1533-position model. Lineage: Bacteria; Pseudomonadati; Pseudomonadota; Gammaproteobacteria; Oceanospirillales; Halomonadaceae. The record is from RNAcentral.
CCUACGGGCGGCAGCAGUGGGGAAUAUUGGACAAUGGGGGGAACCCUGAUCCAGCCAUGCCGCGUGUGUGAAGAAGGCCCUCGGGUUGUAAAGCACUUUCAGUGAGGAAGAACGCCUGGUGGUUAAUACCCAUCAGGAAAGACAUCACUCACAGAAGAAGCACCGGCUAACUCCGUGCCAGCAGCCGCGGUAAUACGGAGGGUGCGAGCGUUAAUCGGAAUUACUGGGCGUAAAGCGCGUGUAGGUGGCUUGAUAAGCCGGUUGUGAAAGCCCCGGGCUCAACCUGGGAACGGCAUCCGGAACUGUCAAGCUAGAGUGCAGGAGAGGAAGGUAGAAUUCCCGGUGUAGCCGUGAAAUGCGUAGAGAUCGGGAGGAAUACCAGUGGCGAAGGCGGCCUUCUGGACUGACACUGACACUGAGGUGCGAAAGCGUGGGUAGCAAACAGGAUUAGAUACCCUAGUAGUC